RNAcentral lists this ribosomal RNA (467 nucleotides) under uncultured bacterium. RNAcentral's name for it is "partial 16S ribosomal RNA". It matches the Rfam family "Bacterial small subunit ribosomal RNA", at positions 28 to 507 of the family's 1533-position model. The record is from RNAcentral.
GACGAACGCUGGCGGCGUGCUUAACACAUGCAAGUCGAACGGAAAGGCUCCAACUUGCUUGCGUACUCGAGUGCCGAACGGGUGAGUAACACGUGUGUAAUCUGCCCUGCACUCUGGGAUAAGCCUUGGAAACUGGGGCGAAUACUGGAUAUGACCUUUCUCCUUAUGGGGUUCGGUGGAAAGAUUCUCGGUGUAGGAUGAGUCCGCGGCCUAUCAGCUUGUUGGAGGGGUGAUGGCAUACGAAGGCGAAGACGGGUAGCCGGCCUGAGAGGGUGAUCGGGCACCAUGGGACUAAGAGACGGCCCAGACGCCAACGGGCGGCAGCAGUAGGGAAUAUUGCGCAAUGGGGGGAAGCCUGAUGCGACGGCGCCGCGUGAGUAAUAACGGCCUUCGGGUUGUAAACACCUUUCAGCAUGGACGAAGCGUAAGUGACGGUACCUGCAGAGAAAGCCCCGGCUAACUAUGUG